CUCUCUAUCUGCGUACACACGGUGCACCCCUGAAAACCAAGGAAAAGAAUGCUUAUGCGACGCUGAAGGAGCUGGCCGCCUUCUCGACGCCCUUCCUGGCGCCCUUGAACCACCUCUUGUCGCCGGCCUGCGCCUUGCAGAUGUAGAGCUUGCCGUCCGAGACGGUGGCCGUGAUGAGCUGGUGCUUGCCGCCCUCGUCGCCGUCCGCCGUCCUCGUCAGCACCGACACGCUGUAGUACUGCUUCCCGUCCACCACCGGCGCCGAGCUCUCCAGGAUGUUGGCUGUCGCCACCGCGUCGGUCUCGAACCCGCCCUGCACGCGCAAGCACAGGUAAAUAGCCGUCGCCGAAUGAAUCAGAGAUUAAUUAGAUGCAGCAUGUGAACUAGUAGAACUAGAACAAACCUCGGAGUCAGUCUUGCCGCUGUAGGCCUGCUUGCCGAGGAGGUAGUCGACCUGGGCGAGGAACUGCUCCGGGGAGCCGAACUCGGUGAUGGUCUUCUUGGUGGUGGGCUGGACCAUGACGGAGACGUUGCUGUUGGCGUCGAAGUUGUCCUCGUAGCGGAGGACCUGGCCGGGGAACUCGCGCUCCUUGCUGGGGUUCCACUUGGACGGGAUCAGCAGCUUGAACCCGUCGCCGCUGUAGGCGAUGAAGUCCGUGUUCGCCUUGGGCUUCCCGAACACGUUGGCUGCAACCAAGCAAGCAAGCGCGAUUGCAAUCAAGAUUCAAUAACCGACCGAGAUCCAUCAAGCUACCCAGGAGCUGAGACAUUAAGCGCGUGUUGUUACCUGCUUCUCCGUAGGCGGCGGCGGCGGGGCUCACCUUGGCGCCGACGGCGGCGACGCCGGCGAGGAGCGUGAGCGCGGCGCGGCGGGUGACCGCGGCGGCGUCACCGCUCUCGGCGGCGGCGUCCUGCCUCUGCGCCUUGCAGACGAGCUGGGCCCGCGGCACCUGGGGGCGCGCCGAGGCGGCGGCGGCGCCGAGGCGAGCGGUGGACUGGAGGAGGAAGCAGGAGGUGGACGCCAUGGCUGCCGCUCGUUGCUCGCUAGCUGGCUCCUGCUGCUGCUGCUACUAUCUUCCUCUAGAAGACUU
This 1091-nucleotide long non-coding RNA is filed under the name Setaria viridis. RNAcentral describes it as "long non-coding RNA (SVIR_LNC004952)". The record is from RNAcentral. Lineage: Eukaryota; Viridiplantae; Streptophyta; Magnoliopsida; Poales; Poaceae.